AAAAGUUAAUUUAUUUCCUUAUCGAUCGCUUUGGAGAUUUUUUGGAUACGAUCUGUGUAUUAUUAGAUUUUUGGAUAGUCUCGUUUUGAGGUUAGUGCGUCGCCCUUUCUCCUAACUAUAGUGAGGGUUAACAGUUAGAUAUUUUUGUGUGGGAUUUUUCGGUAUUCCUCUCGCUCUAUCUCUCUCAUUGUGUGCCGGCUGCUUCUGUUGAAAAACUUGUUGUGCCGCCGCUGCCGCCGCCGCUGCCUCUGCCCGCGCACACACAAAAAGACGAACGAAACGAAACGGGGCCUGCCUCGAGAGUGUGUCUCUGUCGACGACUCUGGAGAUUAAAGAGCAGCAGCAGCAGCAGCAGCAGCAGCAGCAGAACGAACCCCCGUAUGAGUAAGCGAGCGCGUUUCGCAAGGCCAGCGGUUCGGGCGGUUUGUGUGGGUGCGAACGAGAUGGCCAGCCUAACAAUGUGUGCUCUUCCAAUCGCCCGGGCUCGCCAUUUCUCACUCACACGAUUGUACGCUUUCCGCUCGCUUGUGCUGCUGCUGCUUAUUUGGCAGCGACGUCGCCGUUUUCGUCAUUCCCGCCUUGCGCUUUUUCCCUGUUGUUUUAUUAUUGUUAUCAAUAUUAUAGCAUUUCUGUGGCGAUGCCCUACAGGGGAGCGAUUGGGCAGCUUUGUUUUGCUGGUUGAUGGAAACUAUUUGUGGUAACAACUGGAAAUAAUCGCAUGAUUGGAACGGUUCUCCACUCUAAAUUGGUUGGAAAAAGUUCUCAUAUAUUUAAUGAUUUUAAAAAAUUAAUACAUAAGAUACAAAUAUUUGAGAUUAAAACUAACCUAUGUACAUAUGUGAAUUUUAGAUGAAAUCCAAAUUAAAUAAAUGUACAAAAAAUUAUUGGGCUAUCACUUUAA
Long non-coding RNA from Drosophila pseudoobscura, 901 nucleotides. RefSeq lists it as uncharacterized. NCBI's taxonomy places the organism in Eukaryota, Metazoa, Arthropoda, Insecta, Diptera, Drosophilidae. The transcript has 2 exons. The record is from RefSeq and is a predicted model, not a curated record.